This 460-nucleotide ribosomal RNA is filed under the name uncultured bacterium. RNAcentral's name for it is "partial 16S ribosomal RNA". It matches the Rfam family "Bacterial small subunit ribosomal RNA", at positions 338 to 795 of the family's 1533-position model. The record is from RNAcentral.
CCUACGGGAGGCAGCAGUGAGGAAUAUUGGUCAAUGGGCGCGAGCCUGAACCAGCCAAGUAGCGUGAAGGAUGACUGCCCUACGGGUUGUAAACUUCUUUUAUAUGGGAAUAAAACAGGGUAUGCAUACCCUCUUGUAUGUACCAUAUGAAUAAGGAUCGGCUAACUCCGUGCCAGCAGCCGCGGUAAUACUGAGGAUCCGAGCGUUAUCCGGAUUUAUUGGGGUUAAAGGGAGCGUAGGUGGAUUGUUAAGUCAGUUGUGAAAGUUUGCGGCUCAACCGUAAAAUUGCAGUUGAAACUGGCAGUCUUGAGUACAGUAGAGGUGGGCGGAAUUCGUGGUGUAGCGGUGAAAUGCUUAGAUAUCACGAAGAACUCCGAUUGCGAAGGCAGCUCACUGGACUGCAACUGACACUGAUGCUCGAAAGUGUGGGUAUCAAACAGGAUUAGAUACCCCAGUAGUC